GUCUCGUUUCUUGGUGUUAUGGGCAGUGUUGAUAAGGGCAAGCCAGUGGCCUAGCCCUCUUGGGCAUUGAUUGUCGGAGCUAAGGAUGCAUAUCUGAAGUAUGUGAAUAUACCGGAGUCAGCUUUCGUUGAUGGGAUGCUCACUAUUCCGAAAGAAAUUAUGGAGAAAGGUAUGGCUCAGAUGCGUGCAUCGGUUUGUAGCUCAAUUCGUAGGUUCCUUUCCUUAGAUUCAUGUUUUUGCUUUCAUAAUUAAUAGACUAUGGGAUUUGAAGGAGAGGUGAUUCUAUCUAAGCUCUCUGAAGGCUUUUUUUCUUAGUGAGUUCUGAUUGGUCUCUCUUUGGAAAUGGAUGCUGAACAGAGUUUGGCAUAUUCAUCAUAUUUUGUUGAUUUUUCGUUAAUGAAAGUCAAAUAUUGAACUUCUUAAUCUGAAAGUCAAGGAGGUCUUCUGGAUUAGGUUUCAAAAUGUUCCUCCCCAUCCUAUUACUAAGGAAGGGAUUGAAUGGUUGGUAAGUAGUAUUGGUACCCUGUCAAAAAUUAUAUUCGAGAAGGAUUAAAUGUUAAGGUAUGUGUGCUAAUGGGGAAAGAUGUAGUAUGCCUGAGAAUAUUUUCAUAAAUCCGGUAGGUCAAUGCAUUUAUAUUCUUAUGGAUAUGCCUCAAAUCAGAGUGGUGCCUCAGAAGCAAUGGACGCUAAAAUCUUAGACAAUCAUUAUUGAACUUGAAGGUCAAUCUAAAGGAUGUAGUGGUGAGCCUUUUGUGAUAGGUAUGCCUAUUCCUCCCAAAGAAGCUUGUGAGGCUUCGGCUGAAGGGGUAGAGAACACCUUAGUUGAAGCUUCUCUUGAAGUGGAAACUAGUGAGUGUUCUUAGGAGGAUUUGGUAGCUCAAGCUUCUCAACAAGUGGAGGCUGUCAACCUGUACUUUGAAAAGAAGAUGGUACAAAUUGAAGAUGUGAUAAUUUUAGUGGUGCAAAAUGCUUUCGAAGAAAUGGUUGAUGACCUGCAAAGGAGCAAGAAAAAGAAAAAAUAAUUGUAGAAAAUUCAGAUGGUUUCACUACUCUGCGUACCCCGGGUCAAGCUACUCUUAGAGACUUCAUUGAAAAAGGUAAGUUUUCUUCUGUUAAAGCUAAAAGGGGUAGGAAGAGAGGUAAAAAGACUCGAUGAAAGCUCUAAUUUCAAACCAAUAAGGAUUUAAUUCUCCUACAAAAUAUAGUUAUAUUAAUAAAUAUAAUACAAACUUCCUUGUUAUACUUGAAACUAGAGUAAAGAGUAACAAAGUAGAGAAAUUUUUGAAAACUAAAUUUGCUUCUUGGUAGCAUUUUCCAAAUUAUGAUUAUAGUCCUCUGGGCAAGAUUUGGAUUCUUUGGAGAAAUUAUUUCAAAUGUAAGUUAUGAAUUAUUCUGAGCAGUUCAUCUUUAUGAAGAUUGGCGGAGCUAAUUCGUUUUGUCUUUGUGUAGUUAUGGGGCCAACAAACAUGUGGAAAGGAAUUGGAUUUACAAUCAUACCUCUAGUUUUUCCCCGCUGAUCUCCCUCUUACAGUCUUGGAAGAUUUCAACGCUAUUGCAUCUCCCGAGGAGGCUUCUAAUGAGGUAGGUAUUUUUACUGGGAUGCAAGAGUGUCAAAAUGGGAUUAAUAGUAAUAAGUUGGAGGAUCACUAUGUUAUUGGUGCUUUCUUUACUUGGCACAACAAUAGGAUGGAUUAACCAAUUGCUACAAGGGUUGAUAGAUGCUUUAUUAAUCAAUGUUGGAUUAAUUGUUUUACUAUUAGUAGAGUGGAGAUGCUUGAGCCAGGGGUCUCAAAUCAUUGUGGCAUCCUUUUUGACAUGGAUCUCAAAGUCUGUUUUCUUCUAAAGCCUUUUAAAUUCUUUAAAAAUUGGGUUCAGAGGGUUGGUUAUAAAGAUACUGUCGAUGGUGCAUGGACUGCUUAUGAUGUUUUUGCUCAUAGGAGAGGGUUUGAGCGCAUUUGCUA
Molecule: long non-coding RNA, 1961 nt
Filed under: Linum usitatissimum (flax)
Lineage: Eukaryota; Viridiplantae; Streptophyta; Magnoliopsida; Malpighiales; Linaceae
Description: long non-coding RNA (LUSI_LNC006667)
Source: RNAcentral